This 440-nucleotide ribosomal RNA is filed under the name uncultured bacterium. Its description in RNAcentral is "partial 16S ribosomal RNA". It matches the Rfam family "Bacterial small subunit ribosomal RNA", at positions 338 to 795 of the family's 1533-position model. The record is from RNAcentral.
CCUACGGGAGGCAGCAGUGGGGAAUAUUGCUCAAUGGGGGAAACCCUGAAGCAGCAAAGUCGCGUGGAGGAUGAAUGUUCUAGGAUUGUUAACCCUUUUUGUUAGAGAAGAUUAUGCCGGUAUGUAACGAAUAAGGAACGGCUAACUUCGAGACAGCAGCCGCGGUUAUAUGGCGGGUGCAACCGUUACUCGGAGUAACCGGGCGUAAAGAGUGCGUAUGAGGGGUAAUAAGUCAGAUGUGAAAUCCUGUAGCUUAACUACAGAACUGCAGUUGAAACUGUUUGUCUGGAGUGUAGGAGAGGUAGGUGGAAUUCGUGGUGUAGGGGUGAAAUGCGUAGAGAUCAAGAAGAAUACUGAUUGCGAAGGCAGCCUACUGGAACAUUACUGACGCUGAUGCACGAAAGCGUGGGGAGCAAACAGGAUUAGAUACCCCAGUAGUC